AGGUUACUGCUAUCGAGGUUCGACUAAGCCAUGCGAGUCGAAUGUAGCAAUACAUGGCGUACUGCUCAGUAACACGUGGACAACCUACCCUUAGGCCUGGGAUAACCCCGGGAAACUGGGAAUAAUACCGAAUAUCUCGCGAAUGCUGGAAUGCGUCACGAUAGAAAGCUCCGGCGCCUAAGGAUGGGUCUGCGGCCUAUCAGGGUAGUAGUGGGUGUAACGUACCUACUAGCCUACGACGGGUACGGGUUGUGAGAGCAAGAGCCCGGAGAUGGAUUCUGAGACACGAAUCCAGGCCCUACGGGGUGCAGCAGGCGCGAAAACUUUACAAUGCUGGAAACAGCGAUAAGGGGACCUCGAGUGCCAGGAUACAAUCCUGGCUGUCGUAAUGCCUAAAAAGCAUUGCAUAGCAAGGGCCGGGCAAGACCGGUGCCAGCCGCCGCGGUAACACCGGCGGCUCGAGUGGUAACCGCUAUUAUUGGGUCUAAAGGGUCUGUAGCCGGCUGACUAAGUCUCUUGGGAAAUCUGACAGCUUAACUGUCAGGCUUUCAGGAGAUACUGAUCGGCUCGAGACCGGGAGAGGUGAGGGGUACCUCAGGGGUAGGGGUGAAAUCUUGUAAUCCUUGAGGGACCACCAGUGGCGAAGGCGUCUCACCAGAACGGAUCUGACGGCAAGGGACGAAAGCUAGGGGCACGAACCGGAUUAGAUACCCGGGUAGUCCUAGCCGUAAACGAUACUCGCUAGGUGUCGGCCACGGUGCGACCGUGGUCGGUGCCGUAGGGAAGCCGUGAAGCGAGCCACCUGGGAAGUACGGCCGCAAGGCUGAAACUUAA
RNAcentral lists this ribosomal RNA (834 nucleotides) under uncultured archaeon. RNAcentral's name for it is "bacterial SSU rRNA". It matches the Rfam family "Archaeal small subunit ribosomal RNA", at positions 21 to 859 of the family's 1478-position model. The record is from RNAcentral.